CUGCCAGUAGCUAAAUUGGAUGAAAGCACCCGGCUACGAACCGGGAGAUUGGGGGUUCAAGUCCUCUCUGGCAGACCA
RNAcentral lists this transfer RNA (78 nucleotides) under Lactococcus sp. Its description in RNAcentral is "tRNA-Arg". It matches the Rfam family "tRNA". From Rfam's summary of the family: Transfer RNA (tRNA) molecules are approximately 80 nucleotides in length. Their secondary structure includes four short double-helical elements and three loops (D, anti-codon, and T loops). The record is from RNAcentral. Lineage: Bacteria; Bacillati; Bacillota; Bacilli; Lactobacillales; Streptococcaceae.